RNAcentral lists this signal recognition particle RNA (94 nucleotides) under Verrucomicrobiota bacterium. RNAcentral describes it as "Verrucomicrobia bacterium (rhizosphere metagenome) signal recognition particle sRNA small type". It matches the Rfam family "Bacterial small signal recognition particle RNA". Rfam says of the family: The signal recognition particle (SRP) is a universally conserved ribonucleoprotein involved in the co-translational targeting of proteins to membranes. Archaeal SRP consists of a 7S RNA and homologues of the eukaryotic SRP19 and SRP54 proteins. The record is from RNAcentral. Lineage: Bacteria; Pseudomonadati; Verrucomicrobiota.
CGUCAGGGGCUAUGGAUUGAGGGCUGACGAACCCCGCCAGGGCAGGAAUGCAGCAACGGUAGUUUGAUCCUCCUUGCCGUAGUCUCUGGCGGAC